AUUGAACGCUGGCGGCAUGCCUUACACAUGCAAGUCGAACGGCAGCACGGGAGCAAUCCUGGUGGCGAGUGGCGAACGGGUGAGUAAUAUAUCGGAACGUGCCCGGUCGUGGGGGAUAACGUAGCGAAAGCUACGCUAAUACCGCAUACGAUCUACGGAUGAAAGCGGGGGAUCGCAAGACCUCGCGCGAUUGGAGCGGCCGAUAUCAGAUUAGGUAGUUGGUGAGGUAAAGGCUCACCAAGCCGACGAUCUGUAGCUGGUCUGAGAGGACGACCAGCCACACUGGGACUGAGACACGGCCCAGACUCCUACGGGAGGCAGCAGUGGGGAAUUUUUGGACAAUGGGCGCAAGCCUGAUCCAGCAAUGCCGCGUGCAGGAUGAAGGCCUUCGGUUGGUU
Molecule: ribosomal RNA, 398 nt
Filed under: uncultured bacterium
Lineage: Bacteria
Description: bacterial SSU rRNA
Rfam family: Bacterial small subunit ribosomal RNA
Source: RNAcentral